Molecule: ribosomal RNA, 420 nt
Filed under: uncultured bacterium
Lineage: Bacteria
Description: bacterial SSU rRNA
Rfam family: Bacterial small subunit ribosomal RNA
Source: RNAcentral
GAGGAAUAUUGGUCAAUGGGCGGAAGCCUGAACCAGCCAUGCCGCGUGCAGGAAGACGGCCCUACGGGUUGUAAACUGCUUUUCCGGGGGAAGAAUAACCCCGACGUGUCGGGAGACGACGGUACCCCGGGAAUAAGGAUCGGCUAACUCCGUGCCAGCAGCCGCGGUAAUACGGAGGAUCCGAGCGUUAUCCGGAUUUACUGGGUUUAAAGGGUGCGUAGGCGGGCGCUUAAGGCGGCGGUGAAAUGCGGGGGCUCAACCUUCGAACGGCCGUUGAUACUGGGCGCCUUGGAUUCGGUCGAGGCGGGCGGAAUGCGACAUGUAGCGGUGAAAUGCUUAGAUAUGUCGCAGAACGCCGAUUGCGAAGGCAGCUCGCCGGGCCGAUAUUGACGCUGAGGCACGAAAGCGUGGGGAUCGAAC